RNAcentral lists this ribosomal RNA (505 nucleotides) under uncultured bacterium. Its description in RNAcentral is "partial 16S ribosomal RNA". It matches the Rfam family "Bacterial small subunit ribosomal RNA", at positions 28 to 507 of the family's 1533-position model. The record is from RNAcentral.
GACGAACGCUGGCGGCGUGCCUAAUACAUGCAAGUAGAACGCACAGUUUAUACCGUAGCUUGCUACACCAUAGACUGUGAGUUGCGAACGGGUGAGUAACGCGUAGGUAACCUGCCCGGUAGCGGGGGAUAACUAUUGGAAACGAUAGCUAAUACCGCAUAAUAUUAAUUAUUGCAGGAUUAUUAAUUUAAAGUUGCAAUUGCACCACUACCAUAUGGACCUGCGUUGUAUUAGCUGGUAGGUGAGGUAACGGCUCACCUAGGCGAGGAUACAUAGCCGACCUGAGAGGGUGAUCGGCCACACUGGGACUGAGACACGGCCCAGACGCCUGCGGGAGGCAGCAGUAGGGAAUCUUGGGCAAUGGACGAAAGUCUGACCGAGCAACGCCGCGGGAGGGAAGAAGGGUGUCGGAUCGUAAAGCUCUGUUGUAAGAGAAGAACGGGUGUGAGAGUGGAAAGUUCACACUGUGACGGUAUCUAAACAGAAAGGGACGGCUAACUACGUG